GAAUAUGCUACUCAAGUAUUCGAUAACAACAACCUUAUUCAACACACACGCACGCACAAUUCACAAAACACCUUUUCUUUUCAUUCCGCAGAUAAUUGCACGAACAUUAACUCAUGAAUGGUGAGAGAACUCAUUUGCUAUGUUCAUUGUUCAGUCACAUUGAACUCUCUCUGCCAGUGCGUUGGUUUCUGAGCGUUCCAAUGAGAAAAGACUAAUCAAAGAAAUGGGGUUGCAUUUUUUCGUUUGUAAUGAAUGAUGUAUCCCAUUUUGGGUAAGUGCUAUUUGCUGGAAAUGAAUGCGGAAGCUGUCCUAACAAACUAAGGAGCUAACAUUCUCGGUUAUGAAGGUUAUUCAAAAAGGUUUCUCCAACCUGGGAGCCAACCUUAACAAAUACAGCAGGGUAUCCUAUUGGAGCUUCUACCCAUUCUUCACGUCCUUGUUUGGAAAACACUUUUCCUGUCCAGAUAUGGAUCCAACUGCUACUCU
Molecule: long non-coding RNA, 486 nt
Organism: Glycine soja
Lineage: Eukaryota; Viridiplantae; Streptophyta; Magnoliopsida; Fabales; Fabaceae
Exons: 3
Source: RefSeq, a predicted model, not a curated record